GAGAACGAGGGAAGGAUCAGAAGUCCUGAGUCGUUUGCAUCGCCUCCCAAAAGUUUACUUGAAGUGAAGCCCCUCCUGGUUUCAUACUCCAUGAAGCAAACCAGUCCCGUCCGUCCCCGUGUGUCCAGUUCCCAGAGGAUGCGCCUGGGGGCUCUGGGAAGUUCCCUCCUCGACGCUGUUCCGAAGGCCUCCCAACCAUUUCUUUUUUCUUUUUUUUUUUUUUUUGAGACGGAUUUUGCCCUUGUCGCUCAGGCUGGAGUGCAGUGGCGCCAUCUCGGCUCAUUGCAACUUCCGCCUUCAGGGUUCAAGCGAUUCUCCUGCCUCAGCCUCCCGAGUAGCUGGGAUUACAGGCGCCCGCCACCAUGCCCGGCUAAUUUUUGUAUUUUUAGUAGAGACGGGGUUUCACCAUGUUGGCCAGGCUGGUCUGGAACUCCUGACCUCAGGUGAUCUGCCCGCCUGGGCCUCCCAAAGUGCUGAGAUUACAGGCGUGAGCUAUCACGCCCGGCCCCAACCAUUUCUCUUUGAGGGCAGCGACUCCCUUCCUUACCUCCAUCUUAAGCUCCAGGAUUACUUUUUGCCAUCUGCUGUAUAUUUUUACUCUGAUGAACAACCAUUUCUGUAAAUUUCAGUACUUCCAAAACCUACUAAUUAUCUUUCCCUCCAGCUACUCAAACUUGAAACUUGGGCCUUGGCUUCCAAAUCUGUUUCCCAGGGUCUUUUAUCAGUCAUCAUAUUAUGCUUUUUCCUCCAACACCUUUCUUACAUUCAUCCCUUCAUUUGUUUUUCUGUCUGCAUUGCUAUGUUCCUCUGUAUCACUGUUCUUUUCUCUCUUCUACCUUGCACUGGCUGCUAAGCUAAAUGUCAGAAGACAUCACUUUUUUUUUUUUGAGAUGGAGUUUCACUCUUGUCGCGCAGGCUGGUGUGCAAUGGCACGAUCUCGGCUUACUGCAACCUCCGCCUCCUGGUUUCAAGCGAUUCUUCUGCCUCAGCCUCCUGAGUAAGCUGGGAUUACAGGCAUGGACCAGGGCACCAUGCCCGGCUAAUUUUGUAUUUUUAGUAGAGAUGGGGUUUCACCAUGUUGGCCAGGCUGGUCUCGAACUCCUGACCUCAGGUGAUCUGCCCGCCUCGGCCUCCCAAAGUGUUGGGAUUACAGGCAUGAGCCACUGCGCCCGGCCAGCAUCACUGUCAACAUGACACAUCCCUUCAGUGGUUUCCUACUCUUUGCCAGAUCACAGUCUAGAUGCCUUGGCAUGGCAUUCCAGGCUCUCCACAGGCUCCAG
This 1280-nucleotide long non-coding RNA is filed under the name Homo sapiens (human). RNAcentral describes it as "non-protein coding lnc-SH3D21-1:2". Lineage: Eukaryota; Metazoa; Chordata; Mammalia; Primates; Hominidae. The record is from RNAcentral.